GGGGAAGUAGCUCAAUUGGUAGAGCAAAUGUUAAAAAAAUGUUUUUAGUAUUAAAAAUGUAGCAAUUAAAUGAGGAAAUCAUUGUGUCAUUGGUUCGAUUCCAAUCUUCCCCA
This 113-nucleotide transfer RNA is filed under the name Myoviridae sp. ctNQV2. Its description in RNAcentral is "tRNA-Phe". It matches the Rfam family "tRNA". From Rfam's summary of the family: Transfer RNA (tRNA) molecules are approximately 80 nucleotides in length. Their secondary structure includes four short double-helical elements and three loops (D, anti-codon, and T loops). The record is from RNAcentral. Lineage: Duplodnaviria; Heunggongvirae; Uroviricota; Caudoviricetes.